GGAAGCAUUUCCGCUGAAAUUCAUCGCUUAUAUCGGGACUUCCGGUCUCCUCCCAGUGGUGGCUGCUUUGCUGCUCUAGGGUGUGUUCCGAUUCUCCAGCGCCAGGAUGGGACCAAGGUGAUGGAAGAGAAAUGGGCGCGUGGCAGAGAGGCGGGUUCGCAACUCGGCGACGCCGCCCGGGCUGCCCACUCCGGGGCCGGGACAGGGACUGCCGGCCCGGGUGUCUGCUCCGCUCACAGAGUCCGAUGGAGGCAGCCGCGCGCAGGGACCCGGCUGAGAAGACUUGUCACCUGACCAAUGAACAUCCCCCAAGAAUCUCCAUCCUCAAGACAAUGAACUUCCUGCUUGGACUUGGGCUUGACUCCUCUAUCUUUGCACUGCAAACCCUAAAUACAGCCUGCUUGAAACCCCCAUUGGACUUGCCUGUAUCUUUCUACAUUAUAUGUGCUGAAUUGCAAUUUCUCUGUCAUUCCUAAAUAAAAUAAAUUUCUGGUAA
Long non-coding RNA from Neofelis nebulosa (Clouded leopard), 496 nucleotides. RefSeq lists it as uncharacterized. The transcript is spliced from 2 exons. NCBI's taxonomy places the organism in Eukaryota, Metazoa, Chordata, Mammalia, Carnivora, Felidae. The record is from RefSeq and is a predicted model, not a curated record.